This is a non-coding RNA of Mycena galericulata, 92 nucleotides long. Lineage: Eukaryota; Fungi; Basidiomycota; Agaricomycetes; Agaricales; Mycenaceae. The record is from the annotation of a GenBank genome assembly.
GGCCUGGUAGUGUACUGGUAACACAUCCUCUCUUGGUAACUCAGUGUCCAUAGCGUUGGAGGAAACACCCCAUUCGAUUCGGGGCCGGGCCA